GGCUUCUCAGGACGAAAGGCAUAAUCGGCGGUCUCAGAACAGAGCAACGCUAAUGAGGAUGACCCUGACCUCAUAAGAAUAGUGUUCUGACCCCCUGACCCAAAUGGAAAUAGAAAAGCUUGAGCAGUACAUUUAAGACUUCAGCUCUGGAUUACCUAACAGUGUAUGAGAGCAAAGCACUCCUUGACUAUAGACACCAACUUUGAGAUAAGACAUAAAACCAGAGUCCUGGUAUUUUCUGGAAGAGUAGAGUCACUAGCUCCAGUGUCCUGGCCAAAUUUCAAUUUGGGUUUCACAGGAUCACGCAGGUUGGCUGUUUUUCUGCUUUGGUGUCCUAAGAAGCCAGUCUAACAGAUAUUCAGUGGGCACCGAAGGGCUGAGAAAUACACAUUUGCAAUGAGAUGUUCUGGCCAUUGCUCUCCAGUGUGCGAUUGGGAUCAGAGAUUUUCAGAAGACAAUUUGGAAACUUCAGAAACAAAAUACAGGCUUCAGUUCCUUUCUAGAACUAAGGAUUUGGAAAACUGAAUUUCAAAGGAUGAAAAUGUCUCUACUCUCACAACAAAAUGGUGUUUUAAGAACUGUGACACAAAUAUUUUACAAAAAUAUGCAAUCACACAACCACAAACCAUGUAUUCCUGCCUCAGCCACCUUGCAAUAAUACCUGCUUGGAACAUGGUAGAAAACAUGAACCAAGCCAAGUAAGACCCUUGCAAAGAAAACCAAUUAGGCAAAGUUCAAAUUGGCUUUUACUUACCAGAAAGCCUUCGGAGCUACUGCUCAAAGAUGAUUUAUUUCAUUUAUUGUAUUGAAAUGAUUUAUUUUUGCUUAAUUCACAAUGCCCUGAAUUUAGUCAUCCAGCUUCAAGGUCAAAAGUAGGAAUAACAAUUACAUGGGGGCUGCCAUAACCUAGCCUACAAAUAUUAGUGGAGAGUGAUAGCAUUUAAAAUUUCAAAAACUGCAGCAGCCUUUCAUCUUCAUGAUUUAUUUUGCCUAUAGCAGAUUCCAGAGGGAUAAAGUAAACUGAUCUUGGCCAUCAUAUUUUUUUUCUUAUGCCCAUGUGUUAAUUUCCAAAAUACAGAGCUGGAAUAAUCAUCCAGGUCUAUGUAUGUAUGUCGUACUCCACUUUUCGUAUCUUUAUUUGGCUUGUUUGUCCAUCUCUUAGUUUACUUAACUAUUCAAUGAGGAUGAUAGUCAUUGUUUCAUAGAAAUAGAGUUGAACUUUACAUUUCAAUGGAUUUUAAACAUAAUUAUCUCAUAUAAGAAUUUUUCAUUUCUGUUGAAUAAAAUAAAGCUAAUGAUCCUAACUGAACA
RNAcentral lists this long non-coding RNA (1311 nucleotides) under Vulpes vulpes (red fox). RNAcentral's name for it is "lncRNA (ENSVVUG00000012248.1)". Lineage: Eukaryota; Metazoa; Chordata; Mammalia; Carnivora; Canidae. The record is from RNAcentral.